Molecule: long non-coding RNA, 1847 nt
Organism: Saimiri boliviensis boliviensis (Bolivian squirrel monkey)
Lineage: Eukaryota; Metazoa; Chordata; Mammalia; Primates; Cebidae
Source: RefSeq, a predicted model, not a curated record
CGGCUCGCGGCGUGAGAAGGCCGCCGGCUCCUAAGAAAUCCCCCUCCUCCAGCUGAAGAAUUCGAGGUUCAGUACUUCAACAUACAGUACUUCAGAAUGCUGGUAAAAGAAGAGGCACAGUUAAAAGCCAGGGUUGUCUGACUCCAAAGUUCCGUGCCCUUGCCGCUAUCCUUUACUGCUUAAAGAGUGAAGGCUGAUCCUCAGCAUUAUUGUUUAACUACUUGGAUCCAGUUCAGCACUGAGCACCAACCGAAAAGAAGCCACUCUGCUAGAACAUCAGCUACCUAAGGAUCCUGGCUGGUACUUUCCACUCCCCAAGGAUGCACCUUCCAGUGGAGAAAACAAGAAAACCCCAUUGCCUUCCUGAGAAUGUGCGGCAAACUGCAAGGCUGUGCAGAGCUCAUUGGAUACAGUGGCUCCAAGUGUGCUCCAAGCAGAGCCUCUUCACAGUGGAGGCCACCCACAGGCACAGCAGAGCCACUGCGCAGGGCCGGAAAAACGUAAAAGGGAGGAGCCAUGGGGUGUGGCUGCAAUGCUCAGUUUCUUCCCCAAGCCGACGGAUCAGGUAAGUCACCCUUCCUGCUUGGACGGGGCAAAGCCCAGCGUGGCCUGGAGUUCUUGCAGUGGGUGUGGGGAGGCUAGGAACCCAGGUUUCCCCAUAACAAAUAUCCAUAAAGAUGACUUUCAGGCUGUGAAGACUGGACAUCCAGCCAAGGCCUCACUCCUGGGCACCAGACCGGUAUUUCCCGUGGCCUACUGUACAUCUCCACGUGGAUGGCCAUGAGGCAGCUCCGGUUCAACACCCCCAAAUCUAAAUUCAGGAGCCCUUUCCCCCCAGCCCUCCCCUGCCAUCUCAGAAUUGAUUAAUGACAGUACAGUCAGCCUUCCAAUUCAAGGAAGUGGGCACUCUCCGCCACUCUCGCGUGAAUACAGUUUGUCGGCAGAUCCCAUCCUUUCUACCUCCAAAGUUUGCACGGUGUUCCUUUAUGUUACUUCAGUUUACUCUCCUCAUCUCUUAGAUCACAGCAGGAGCCUCCUUACCAUCUCCAUGCCUCUGUCUUUCCCUCUCCCUCUUCCUGUCCAUAGGAAGUGGGACUCUACCUACAUUCCAACCUCAUACCUUUUCCCCAAAUGCAACUAAUGCUCCUUUCACACAGCCCUAUAACAGCAUCCAGUUUCCAGAACUUUUCCAGCCUUCCACCUCCCCUAACUUUCGCCUGGAAAACUCCUGAUCGGCCUACAACAUUCAGCUCUGGGGUUGUUCCUCCCCAACACCAUCCCUGACCAAGGCGAAAUUAAGGGGUCCGUCUGCAGUGCUCCCAAAAGCGAGCAUAACCUAGAUGUUUGUCAGCUAACUUUCUACCAGUCUGAGGGGUCCUUCAGUAUAGGGACAGGUUUAACUUUUGUUUAUGCUCUGGGUGCCUAGCUCAAUGCCAGGUGGAUGCUAGGGGCUCAAUAAACAUUUAUGGAAUCAAUAGCCAUGUCCCACAGGCCCCAUCAGUUUAACCUUGUCAAACCCAUAGCAUCUUCUCUCUUUCCCCACGCCCUUCACCUGGUGACCUUGGUGCAGCUAAUUGGUUGAAGAGCUCACAGGGAAUUGAAUGGUGCUUUCCCUCUAGUGUGCUCAGCUGGAGGCAGGCAAAGCAGGCUUCUCAGCAGGCAGUGAGUGGGCCAUGCUAGAGGAGGGACUGCUUUGUGCAACCUCAGGGCCUCCUGCAAAUCAGACUCAAUCGCCUUCACUUCCUGUGCUUAGGGAGAUUAGAUACUGCCUAAUCAACGCCAAUUUUUUUUUCUUUUCUUAAUAUUUGAAACUACCAAGUACCAGUUGCCAUCCUAGUGGGUGGCUU